Molecule: non-coding RNA, 38 nt
Organism: Synergistales bacterium 53_16
Lineage: Bacteria; Thermotogati; Synergistota; Synergistia; Synergistales
Source: Rfam
GGAACCUGCACACGAUGCGGUGCAUCGAUGGUCAGGGA